UACCUGGUUGAUUCUGCCAGUAGUCAUAUGCUUGUCUCAAAGAUUAAGCCAUGCAUGUCUAAGUAUAAGCAAUUUAUACCGUGAAACUGCGAAUGGCUCAUUAAAUCAGUUAUCGUUUAUUUGAUAGUACCUUACUACUUGGAUAACCGUGGUAAUUCUAGAGCUAAUACAUGCUAAAAGCCCCGACUUCGGAAGGGGUGUAUUUAUUAGAUAAAAAACCAAUGCCCUCCGGGGCUCCUUGGUGAUUCAUAAUAACUUAACGAAUCGCAUGGCCUUGUGCCGGCGAUGGUUCAUUCAAAUUUCUGCCCUAUCAACUUUCGAUGGUAGUAUAUGGGACUACCAUGGUUUCAACGGGUAACGGGGAAUUAGGGUUCUAUUCCGGAGAGGGAGCCUGAGAAACGGCUACCACAUCCAAGGAAGGCAGCAGGCGCGCAAAUUACCCAAUCCCGACACGGGGAGGUAGUGACAAUAAAUACUGAUACAGGGCUCUUUUGGGUCUUGUAAUUGGAAUGAGUACAAUUUAAAUCCCUUAACGAGGAACAAUUGGAGGGCAAGUCUGGUGCCAGCAGCCGCGGUAAUUCCAGCUCCAAUAGCGUAUAUUAAAGUUGUUGCAGUUAAAAAGCUCGUAGUUGAACCUUGGGCCUGGCUGGCCGGUCCGCCUCACCGCGUGCACUGGUCCGGCCGGGUCUUUCCUCCUGGGGAGCCACAUGCCCUUCACUGGGUGUGUUGGGGAACCAGGACUUUUACUUUGAAAAAAUUAGAGUGUUCAAAGCAGGCCUAUGCUCGAAUACAUUAGCAUGGAAUAAUAGAAUAGGACGUGUGGUUC
RNAcentral lists this non-coding RNA (826 nucleotides) under Blumeria hordei DH14. Its description in RNAcentral is "Blumeria graminis f. sp. hordei DH14 Eukaryotic small subunit ribosomal RNA". It matches the Rfam family "Eukaryotic small subunit ribosomal RNA", at positions 1 to 837 of the family's 1831-position model. Lineage: Eukaryota; Fungi; Ascomycota; Leotiomycetes; Helotiales; Erysiphaceae. The record is from Rfam by way of RNAcentral.